UACUUUAGGAUUGAUGAGUCCAGUGGCUCUGGUCCAUUUCCCUGCCAUUCCCUUGGCGUCAAUUUACUCCCAGGGCUGGCAGUGAGAUGGGUCAAGGCUCACACCUUCACC
MicroRNA precursor from Chlorocebus sabaeus (green monkey), 111 nucleotides. NCBI's taxonomy places the organism in Eukaryota, Metazoa, Chordata, Mammalia, Primates, Cercopithecidae. The record is from Ensembl.